GAAUCUGCCUUCAGGUCGGGGACAACCACUGGAAACGGUGGCUAAUACCCGAUGUGCGCAACGUGAAAGAUUUAUCGCCUGAAGAGGAGCUCGCGUCUGAUUAGCUAGUUGGUGGGGUAAAAGCUCACCAAGGCGACGAUCAGUAGCUGGUCUGAGAGGAUGAUCAGCCACACUGGGACUGAGACACGGCCCAGACUCCUACGGGAGGCAGCAGUGGGGAAUUUUCCGCAAUGGGCGAAAGCCUGACGGAGCAAGACCGCGUGGGGGAGGAAGGUUCUUGGAUUGUAAACCCCUUUUCUCAGGGAAGAACAAAAUGACGGUACCUGAGGAAUCAGCAUCGGCUAACUCCGUGCCAGCAGCCGCGGUAAUACGGAGGAUGCAAGCGUUAUCCGGAAUAAUUGGGCGUAAAGCGUCCGUAGGUGGCUGUUCAAGUCUGCCGUUAAAGACCGGGGCUUAACCCUGGAAAGGCGGUGGAAACUGAACGGCUAGAGUGCAGUAGGGGUAGAGGGAAUUCCCAGUGUAGCGGUGAAAUGCGUAGAGAUUGGGAAGAACACCGGUGGCGAAAGCGCUCUGCUGGACUGCAACUGACACUGAGGGACGAAAGCUAGGGGAGCG
This 615-nucleotide ribosomal RNA is filed under the name uncultured cyanobacterium. Its description in RNAcentral is "bacterial SSU rRNA". It matches the Rfam family "Bacterial small subunit ribosomal RNA", at positions 122 to 770 of the family's 1533-position model. The record is from RNAcentral. Lineage: Bacteria; Bacillati; Cyanobacteriota.